AUACCAAGAACUGAGUCAUGCUAUGGUUAAAAGACAGUUUCAUUUAAUGUAUUUUAUAGGGGUAAAAUUUGAGUAUAAUUAUAUAAGUCAAAGGUGACUUGAAAGCUGAAUCUGUGAAAUCCUUGAGGGAAACUGGGAUUAGGUACCCCAUUAUUCUUGGAUGUAAAUGGAAUGAUUUUUACCGGAGUACUAUGAAUAUUGUAAUUUAAAACUCAAAGAACUUGGCGGUGUUUUAGACCACUUAGGGGAAUCUGUUUCGUAAUCGAUAAUCCACGUUAUACCUGACCUUUUUUUGUUUUUCAGUUUGUAUACCGUUGUCGUCAGGUAACUUUUUAGAGGAUAGAAGUUGGCUGUAGAAAGGUAAUUUAAUACGUCAAAUCAAGGUGCAGCUAAUAGAAAGGAGAGGAUGGAUUACAAUUAUAAAUUUAUAAACGGAAGGUGGACUUAAAAGUAAAUUAAAUUAUAGGAAUAAUUUGAAUUAGGCUCUGAAACGUGU
Molecule: ribosomal RNA, 496 nt
Filed under: Terebra ornata
Lineage: Eukaryota; Metazoa; Mollusca; Gastropoda; Neogastropoda; Terebridae
Description: partial 12S ribosomal RNA
Source: RNAcentral